Molecule: ribosomal RNA, 1566 nt
Filed under: uncultured Sebacina
Lineage: Eukaryota; Fungi; Basidiomycota; Agaricomycetes; Sebacinales; Sebacinaceae
Description: eukaryotic LSU rRNA
Rfam family: Eukaryotic large subunit ribosomal RNA (bases 980-1566)
Source: RNAcentral
GACUGUAGGAUCUACCUGACGGAAGUUUGAGGCAAUAACAGGUCUGUGAUGCCCUUAGAUGUUCUGGGCCGCACGCGCGCUACACUGACAAAGCCAGCGAGUCUAUCACCUUGGCCGGAAGGUCCGGGUAAUCUUGUGAAACUUUGUCGUGCUGGGGAUAGAGCAUUGCAAUUAUUGCUCUUCAACGAGGAAUGCCUAGUAAGCGCAAGUCAUCAGCUUGCGUUGAUUACGUCCCUGCCCUUUGUACACACCGCCCGUCGCUACUACCGAUUGAAUGGCUUAGUGAGGUCUUCGGAUUGGCUCUGAGAACCCGGCAACGGGAUCUUGUUGCUGAGAAGUUGAUCAAACUUGGUCAUUUAGAGGAAGUAAAAGUCGUAACAAGGUUUCCGUAGGUGAACCUGCGGAAGGAUCAUUAAUGAAACUUCAGUCGGCCUGUCAUCAGUGCUGGUGGGAACACAUGUGCACGUUGACAAGUUGCAAAUCCACAAACCUGUGCAUCUUAUGACUCUGAGUAACCUUUCUGGUGGCCUUUUGGUUGGCUUUAAGGGACUCGAGUAUUUUUACACACACUUGAAUGUAAUGGAAUGUUUAUUGUGCAUUAUGUACAACCAAAACAACUUUCAACAACGGAUCUCUUGGCUCUCGCAUCGAUGAAGAACGCAGCGAAAUGCGAUAAGUAAUGUGAAUUGCAGAAUUCAGUGAAUCAUCGAAUCUUUGAACGCACCUUGCACCCUUUGGUAUUCCGAAGGGUACACCCGUUUGAGUGUCAUUGUAAUCUCACCUUUUCAGCUUUGAUUGUUGAUCAGUGUGGACUUGGAUGCUGCCGUUUAGCAAAUGGCUCGUCUGAAAUGCCUGAGUGUACCCUGUUGUGUGGUGUAUUCAGUGUGAUAAACCUUCACUGGAGAUGGUCUUGGGACCGCACCUCUUUGACAUGGCUCUAUGCUUCCAACCGUCUUUGAAAGACAAUACUCUGACAAUUUGACCUCAAAUCGGGUGGGACUACCCGCUGAACUUAAGCAUAUCAAUAAGCGGAGGAAAAGAAACUAACUAGGAUUCCCUUAGUAACGGCGAGUGAAGAGGGAAAAGCUCAAAUUUUGAAUCGGGUGUCUUUGGCACCUGAAUUGUAAUCUAGAGAAGUGUUUUCUGUGUUGGACCAUGCACAAGUCCCCUGGAAUGGGGUGUCAUAGAGGGUGAGAAUCCCGUAUUUGGCAUGGAUUUCGAUGCUCUGUGAUACACUCUCAACGAGUCGAGUUGUUUGGGAAUGCAGCUCAAAAUGGGUGGUAAAUUCCAUCUAAAGCUAAAUAUUGGCGAGAGACCGAUAGCGAACAAGUACCGUGAGGGAAAGAUGAAAAGCACUUUGGAAAGAGAGUGAAACAGUACGUGAAAUUGUUGAAAGGGAAGCAUUUGAAGUCAGUCAUGUCCAUUGGAAUUCAGCCUGGCUUUAGCCUGGUGUACUUUCCUUUGGACUGGUCAGCAUCAGUUUCGACCAAGGGAAAAAGGCACAAGGAAUGUGACUGUCUUCGGGCAGUGUUAUAGCCUUGUGUUGUAUGUCUUGGUUGGGACUGA